Molecule: ribosomal RNA, 371 nt
Filed under: uncultured organism
Description: bacterial SSU rRNA
Rfam family: Bacterial small subunit ribosomal RNA
Source: RNAcentral
CGUAGGGUGCGAGCGUUAAUCGGAAUUACUGGGCGUAAAGCGUGCGCAGGCGGUUUUGUAAGCCAGAUGUGAAAUCCCCGGGCUUAACCUGGGAAUGGCAUUUGGGACUGCAAGGCUUGAGUGCGGCAGAGGAGACUGGAAUUCCCGGUGUAGCAGUGAAAUGCGUAGAUAUCGGGAGGAAUACCGAUGGCGAAGGCAGGUCUCUGGGCUGACACUGACGCUCAUGCACGAAAGCGUGGGGAGCAAACAGGAUUAGAUACCCUGGUAGUCUACGCCCUAAACGAUGUCGACUGGUUGUUGGGGGUUUGACACUCUCAGUAACGAAGCUAACGCGUGAAGUCGACCGCCUGGGGAGUACGGCCGCAAGGUUA